UCUUGGUCAUUUAGAGGAAGUAAAAGUCGUAACAAGGUUUCCGUAGGUGAACCUGCGGAAGGAUCAUUAUUGAAAUAAACCUGAUAGGUUGUUGCUGGCUCUCUAGGGAGCAUGUGCACGCCUUGUCAUCUUUAUAUCUCCACCUGUGCACUUUUUGUAGACCUCUUUUUAAAAAAGGUCUAUGUUGCUUCAUUUUACCUCAAUUGUAUGUCAAUAGAAUGUUGUGCCUAUAUAAUAUAUACAACUUUCAGCAACGGAUCUCUUGGCUCUCGCAUCGAUGAAGAACGCAGCGAAAUGCGAUAAGUAAUGUGAAUUGCAGAAUUCAGUGAAUCAUCGAAUCUUUGAACGCACCUUGCGCUCCUUGGUAUUCCGAGGAGCAUGCCUGUUUGAGUGUCAUUAAUAUAAUCUCAAUCCUUUUCUUUUUUGAAAAGGUUUGGAUGUGGGGGUUUGCUGGCCUCUUCAAAAAGUUCAGCUCCCCUGAAAUGCAUUAGCAGAACAACCUUGCUCAUUGGUGUGAUAACUAUCUACGCUUAUGAAUGUGAGGGAACAGUUCAGCUUUCUAACAGUCUUCGGACAAUUCAUCAUUAAUGUGACCUCAAAUCANGGUAGGACUACCCGCUGAACUUAAGCAUAUCAAUAAGCGGAGGAAAAGAAACUAACAAGGAUUCCCCUAGUAACUGCGAGUGAAGCGGGAAAAGCUCAAAUUUAAAAUCUGGCGGUCUUUUGGCUGUCCGAGUUGUAAUCUAGAGAAGUGUUAUCCGCGCUGGACCGUGUACAAGUCUCCUGGAAUGGAGCGUCAUAGAGGGUGAAGAAUCCAU
RNAcentral lists this ribosomal RNA (818 nucleotides) under Cortinarius junghuhnii. Its description in RNAcentral is "eukaryotic LSU rRNA". The stretch from base 243 to 396 matches the Rfam family "5.8S ribosomal RNA". Lineage: Eukaryota; Fungi; Basidiomycota; Agaricomycetes; Agaricales; Cortinariaceae. The record is from RNAcentral.